ACGCUGGCGGCGUGCCUAAUACAUGCAAGUCGAACGAACUCUGGUAUUGAUUGGUGUUUGCAUCAUGAUUUACAUUUGAGUGAGUGGCGAACUGGUGAGUAACACGUGGGAAACCUGCCCAGAAGCGGGGGAUAACACCUGGAAACAGAUGCUAAUACCGCAUAACAACUUGGACCGCAUGGUCCGAGCUUGAAAGAUGGCUUCGGCUAUCACUUUUGGAUGGUCCCGCGGCGUAUUAGCUAGAUGGUGGGGUAACGGCUCACCAUGGCAAUGAUACGUAGCCGACCUGAGAGGGUAAUCGGCCACAUUGGGACUGAGACACGGCCCAAACUCCUACGGGAGGCAGCAGUAGGGAAUCUUCCACAAUGGACGAAAGUCUGAUGGAGCAACGCCGCGUGAGUGAAGAAGGGUUUCGGCUCGUAAAACUCUGUUGUUAAAGAAGAACAUAUCUGAGAGUAACUGUUCAGGUAUUGACGGUAUUUAACCAGAAAGCCACGGCUAACUACGUGCCAGCAGCCGCGGUAAUACGUAGGUGGCAAGCGUUGUCCGGAUUUAUUGGGCGUAAAGCGAGCGCAGGCGGUUUUUUAAGUCUGAUGUGAAAGCCUUCGGCUCAACCGAAGAAGUGCAUCGGAAACUGGGAAACUUGAGUGCAGAAGAGGACAGUGGAACUCCAUGUGUAGCGGUGAAAUGCGUAGAUAUAUGGAAGAACACCAGUGGCGAAGGCGGCUGUCUGGUCUGUAACUGACGCUGAGGCUCGAAAGUAUGGGUAGCAAACAGGAUUAGAUACCCUGGUAGUCCAUACCGUAAACGAUGAAUGCUAAGUGUUGGAGGGUUUCCGCCCUUCAGUGCUGCAGCUAACGCAUUAAGCAUUCCGCCUGGGGAGUACGGCCGCAAGGCUGAAACUCAAAGGAAUUGACGGGGGCCCGCACAAGCGGUGGAGCAUGUGGUUUAAUUCGAAGCUACGCGAAGAACCUUACCAGGUCUUGACAUACUAUGCAAAUCUAAGAGAUUAGACGUUCCCUUCGGGGACAUGGAUACAGGUGGUGCAUGGUUGUCGUCAGCUCGUGUCGUGAGAUGUUGGGUUAAGUCCCGCAACGAGCGCAACCCUUAUUAUCAGUUGCCAGCAUUAAGUUGGGCACUCUGGUGAGACUGCCGGUGACAAACCGGAGGAAGGUGGGGAUGACGUCAAAUCAUCAUGCCCCUUAUGACCUGGGCUACACACGUGCUACAAUGGAUGGUACAACGAGUUGCGAACUCGCGAGAGUAAGCUAAUCUCUUAAAGCCAUUCUCAGUUCGGAUUGUAGGCUGCAACUCGCCUACAUGAAGUCGGAAUCGCUAGUAAUCGCGGAUCAGCAUGCCGCGGUGAAUACGUUCCCGGGCCUUGUACACACCGCCCGUCACACCAUGAGAGUUUGUAACACCCAAAGUCGGUGGGGUAACCUUUUAGGAACCAGCCGCCUAAGGUGGGACAGAUGAUUAGGGUGAA
RNAcentral lists this ribosomal RNA (1486 nucleotides) under Lactiplantibacillus plantarum. RNAcentral describes it as "Lactobacillus plantarum 16S ribosomal RNA". It matches the Rfam family "Bacterial small subunit ribosomal RNA". The record is from RNAcentral. Lineage: Bacteria; Bacillati; Bacillota; Bacilli; Lactobacillales; Lactobacillaceae.